AAAAGUCCGGGGCGUUAUCCGGAUUUAUUGGGUUUAAGGGUGCGUAGGCGGCCUUUUAAGUCAGCGGUGAAAGUCUGUGGCUCAACCAUAGAAUUGCCGUUGAAACUGGGAGGCUUGAGUAUGUUUGAGGCAGGCGGAAUGCGUGGUGUAGCGGUGAAAUGCUUAGAUAUCACGCAGAACCCCGAUUGCGAAGGCAGCCUGCCAAGCCAUGACUGACGCUGAUGCACAAAAGCGUGGGGAUCAAACAGGAUUAGAUACCCUGGUAGUCCACGCAGUAAACGAUGAUCACUAGCUGUUUGCGAUACAGUGUAAGCGGCACAGCGAAAGCGUUAAGUGAUCCACCUGGGGAGUACGCCGGCAACGGUGAAACUCAAAGGAAUUGACGGGGGCCCGCACAAGCGGAGGAACAUGUGGUUUAAUUCGAUGAUACGCGAGGAACCUUACCCGGGUUUGAACGCAUUCGGACCGAGGUGGAAGCACCUUUUCUAGCAAUAGCCGUUUGCGAGGUGCUGCAUGGUUGUCGUCAGCUCGUGCCGUGAGGUGUCGGCUUAAGUGCCAUAACGAGCGCAACCCUUGUUGUCAGUUACUAACAGGUUCCGCUGAGGACUCUGACAAGACUGCCAUCGUAAGAUGUGAGGAAGGUGGGGAUGACGUCAAAUCAGCACGGCCCUUACGUCCGGGGCUACACACGUGUUACAAUGGGGGGUACAGAGGGCCGCUACCACGCGAGUGGAUGCCAAUCCCAAAAACCUCUCUCAGUUCGGACUGGAGUCUGCAACCCGACUCCACGAAGCUGGAUUCGCUAGUAAUCGCGCAUCAGCCACGGCGCGGUGAAUACGUUCCCGGGCCUUGCACACACCGCCCGU
This 866-nucleotide ribosomal RNA is filed under the name uncultured bacterium. Its description in RNAcentral is "bacterial SSU rRNA". It matches the Rfam family "Bacterial small subunit ribosomal RNA", at positions 527 to 1397 of the family's 1533-position model. The record is from RNAcentral.